AUUGAACGCUGGCGGCAGGCUUAACACAUGCAAGUCGAGCGGAGUGAUGGUGCUUGCACUAUCACUUAGCGGCGGACGGGUGAGUAAUGCUUAGGAAUCUGCCUAUUAGUGGGGACAACAUCUCGAAAGGGAUGCUAAUACCGCAUACGUCCUACGGGAGAAAGCAGGGGAUCACUUGUGACCUUGCGCUAAUAGAUGAGCCUAAGUCGGAUUAGCUAGUUGGUGGGGUAAAGGCCUACCAAGGCGACGAUCUGUAGCGGGUCUGAGAGGAUGAUCCGCCACACUGGGACUGAGACACGGCCCAGACUCCUACGGGAGGCAGCAGUGGGGAAUAUUGGACAAUGGGGGGAACCCUGAUCCAGCCAUGCCGCGUGUGUGAAGAAGGCCUUAUGGUUGUAAAGCACUUUAAGCGAGGAGGAGGCUCUUUUGGUUAAUACCCAAGAUGAGUGGACGAUACUCGCAGAAUAAGCACCGGCUAACUCUGUGCCAGCCGCCGCGGUAA
RNAcentral lists this ribosomal RNA (502 nucleotides) under uncultured bacterium. RNAcentral's name for it is "partial 16S ribosomal RNA". It matches the Rfam family "Bacterial small subunit ribosomal RNA", at positions 30 to 523 of the family's 1533-position model. The record is from RNAcentral.